GUCAGGAUGGACAAGCGGUCUAAGGCGCUGCGUUAAGAUUGCAAUUUCCCCUGGAGGCGUGGGUUCAAAUGCCACUUCCGACA
Non-coding RNA from Danio rerio (zebrafish), 83 nucleotides. Lineage: Eukaryota; Metazoa; Chordata; Actinopteri; Cypriniformes; Danionidae. The record is from Rfam.